RNAcentral lists this ribosomal RNA (535 nucleotides) under Fusarium cerealis. RNAcentral describes it as "eukaryotic LSU rRNA". It matches the Rfam family "Eukaryotic large subunit ribosomal RNA", at positions 66 to 624 of the family's 3401-position model. Lineage: Eukaryota; Fungi; Ascomycota; Sordariomycetes; Hypocreales; Nectriaceae. The record is from RNAcentral.
CAACAGGGAUUGCCCUAGUAACGGCGAGUGAAGCGGCAACAGCUCAAAUUUGAAAUCUGGCUUUCGGGCCCGAGUUGUAAUUUGUAGAGGAUGAUUUUGAUGCGGUGCCUUCCGAGUUCCCUGGAACGGGACGCCAUAGAGGGUGAGAGCCCCGUCUGGUUGGAUGCCAAAUCUCUGUAAAUCUCCUUCGACGAGUCGAGUAGUUUGGGAAUGCUGCUCUAAAUGGGAGGUAUAUGUCUUCUAAAGCUAAAUACCGGCCAGAGACCGAUAGCGCACAAGUAGAGUGAUCGAAAGAUGAAAAGCACUUUGAAAAGAGAGUUAAAAAGUACGUGAAAUUGUUGAAAGGGAAGCGUUUAUGACCAGACUUGGGCUUGGUUAAUCAUCUGGGGUUCUCUCCAGUGCACUUUUCCAGCCCAGGCCAGCAUCAGUUUUCGCCGGGGGAUAAAGACUUCGGGAAUGUGGCUCCCCUCGGGGAGUGUUAUAGCCCGUUGUGUAAUACCCUGGUGGGGACUGAGGUUCGCGCUUCUGCAAGGAU